This 253-nucleotide ribosomal RNA is filed under the name uncultured bacterium. Its description in RNAcentral is "partial 16S ribosomal RNA". It matches the Rfam family "Bacterial small subunit ribosomal RNA", at positions 524 to 776 of the family's 1533-position model. The record is from RNAcentral.
UACAGAGGUCCCGAGCGUUGUUCGGAUUCACUGGGCGUAAAGGGUGCGUAGGUGGCAUGGUAAGUUUGAUGUGAAAGCUCAGGGCUCAACCCUGAAAUGGCAUUGAAUACUACUGUGCUGGAGGUUUGGAGGGGGGACUGGAAUUCUUGGUGUAGCAGUGAAAUGCGUAGAUAUCAGGAGGAACACCGGUGGCGAAGGCGGCUUUCUGGACAGAUACCGACGCUGAGGAGCGAAAGCUAGGGGAGCAAACGGG